Molecule: long non-coding RNA, 393 nt
Filed under: Marmota monax (woodchuck)
Lineage: Eukaryota; Metazoa; Chordata; Mammalia; Rodentia; Sciuridae
Source: RNAcentral
CUUGAAAUACAGACAAAUGUGAUGUUGUAAAUUAAGAAGAAUUGAUUCUAUGUUUCUUGCUUAGUACAGACUCUAAUCCAAAUGAGAGAUCUAUACAGCUGAAAUCUGAACCUUUUUUCCUUUGGCCCUUGUUUCUUUUAUUGUAUUGUCAUUUUUUGUGGGUGGAAGUAGAGGAAUGCUCAAACUUACACUUUUUCUGUACAUUUGGGUUCCUAAACAGUUUUUCCAAAUUAUUGAUAGUCACGUACUUAUUUCUUAUGGUUCUUUCAGUCCCUGCCAGUACUGGGGCAUUGACUUGACUUCCUGAAACAAGGUACAGAAGGCCUUUUGACUUUGUGUAUUUUGCCUUCUUUUUUCUGCUUUUGAAACAGUAGCAACUUUAGAUGAUCUUUA